This is a long non-coding RNA of Homo sapiens (human), 1573 nucleotides long. Ensembl annotates it as long intergenic non-protein coding RNA 635. NCBI's taxonomy places the organism in Eukaryota, Metazoa, Chordata, Mammalia, Primates, Hominidae. The record is from Ensembl.
AGCAUAGCAACAGCAGCGUAGCUGAACAUCUUACGGAUGGCCCAGGGCUCCAAAGGCUCGUUUCCUAAGUGAGAGAGAGCCUGGCUGAAGCUGUAUUACCAUUCAUUCUCCAGCCUCCGAAGUCUCAAAGCAUCACUUCCACCAUACUCUAACUGUCAAGACAAACACAAAGGCCCAGACAUUACAUGUAAAUGGAAUCAUACAAUAUGUGAUCUUUUGUGACUGGCUUCUUUCACUUAGCAUAACGUUUUCAAGGUUUGUUCGUGUUGUAGCAGAAACUGCCAGACUGUCUUCUGAAGUGGCUAUAAUAUUUACACUCCCAUCAGCAGUGUAGAAGGGGUCUCACUAUGUUGUCUGGAGUGCUGUGGUGGAGUGGAGUGGCUAUUCACAGAGCCUGUUCUGCUGGGACACAGAAUCACUUGCUCCAUCUCAUACAUUGAUGAUGAUUAAUUUGUAUGUGUACCUUCCAAAAAAGAUGGUUGUGUUUGAAUGGAGGCCUUCUGGACAGGAAAAUAUGGAGAGUGCGUGCUUUGGAUUCAAGACUGGGAAUGAGGGGACCAGAAACCUAUUCUGUGGCUGUUUCUUGUUAGGACUUUCCUAAGCCUCUGGAAAAGUGCAAAGUACAAUUAACAUUUGAGUCUGUCUGAGUCAUGAAGAAAUGGAGAUUACUGAAAAUAAUUCAUUUUGGUAUCUUCUUACAUCCUGAGAGACUAAUCUUUCCAAGUUCAUCUGAGGCUCCUCUUCUCCAUGACAACCUCAUCCAGGGAUUUCUUCCUGUCCUGGUGUUUUAUGACAUAAUCACAUCCUUCCUGAGAUAAUGAGCACACAAUUGCCUGGAUACCUGAAGGAAUGGAGACAGCGGCAGAAAACACUGCAGAGAGGUGGAAACAUCCGUUAAUAUUUUAAAAUCCCAUUACUGCUACCAACAAUAAUAAUGGAUGCAUAGAAAUAGAUCUGGAUUAGCUGAGCUUGAAACAGUCCAUCUCACACACACACAAAAGAAUUUCAGAUACAGUGAACCCACAUGUUGAAGCUUUCUAGUAUAAUAAAAAUUUCAACUGUUCUGUUGAAUCAUCUGCCUGAUUGGAGGCUACAGAAAAGAUGUCAUCUUAGGAGUGCUUGCUCUGAGUGAGGCUCAUCUUCAAAUCUGAAUGACCACAAGGAGAUUUGAUUAUACAUGUGAACACCUCAGAAGGCACAGCCCACCCAGAAGGCAGACAGAAGAAGCUGCCAGGAAGACUGUGAAAUCUUCAUGCCCAAGGAUCCCUAAAAUUAGGAGCAACAACCACUUGGCUCAGACGGUUUAUGGAGGCAAAGGUUUGGAUGGGAUUAGAGAUUUCUAAAUGUGAGUUCGUGUCCUCUGCCAGACCACCUUACUUCCACCAUUCCUCAGCAAAUCAAGAAAAACAGGAGAAAAGACAUGCCUUUCCAUAAGUUAAAUCUAUUCUGUUUUAAUUCUAUAUUAUAUCUGCUGUACAACUUCUUUUGUUUGUAACACCAUAUUGUUGCUAGUAACUGGAAAUUAAUUUUCACAUGCCUCAGCUUAGAAAAAUAAAAAGCAGCCCUGCAUCAA